This 492-nucleotide ribosomal RNA is filed under the name uncultured bacterium. RNAcentral's name for it is "partial 16S ribosomal RNA". It matches the Rfam family "Bacterial small subunit ribosomal RNA", at positions 29 to 507 of the family's 1533-position model. The record is from RNAcentral.
AGUGAACGCUGGCGGUAGGCCUAACACAUGCAAGUCGAACGGCAGCACAGUAAGAGCUUGCUCUUACGGGUGGCGAGUGGCGGACGGGUGAGGAAUACAUCGGAAUCUACUUUUUCGUGGGGGAUCACGUAGGGAAACUUACGCUAAUACCGCAUACGACCUACGGGUGAAAGCAGGGGAUCUUCGGACCUUGCGCGAUUGAAUGAGCCGAUGUCGGAUUAGCUAGUUGGCGGGGUAAAGGCCCACCAAGGCGACGAUCCGUAGCUGGUCUGAGAGGAUGAUCGGCCACACUGGAACUGAGACACGGUCCAGACGCCUACGGGAGGCAGCAGUGGGGAAUAUUGGACAAUGGGCGCAAGCCUGAUCCAGCCAUACCGCGUGGGUGAAGAAGGCCUUCGGGUUGUAAAGCCCUUCUGUUGGGAAAGAAAAGCAGCAGGUUAAUACCCCGCUGUUCUGACGGUACCCAAAGAAUAAGCACCGGCUAACUUCGUG